AUUUAUAAAUAUGCCUCAUAUGGGGUUUUAAUAGUAAUUAUUAUUUUUUUACAUUUACCACAAGUUCCUUUCGUUUUUUCUUCUCUUUGUAUGCACUCCAUUCAACCCUAAGUCCACAUUUUUCUCCAUCCUCUGCCACCGUGACUGCGUCUUUCUUCGCCGCCGCCGCCUGAAGCUCUGUUCUGUUCAACUGGAGCUAUAAUUCAGCCCAGUACUUCAUUGUCUCAUUCAUUCUCCGUAUCUCUCUUCUCUCUUCGCGUCAUUCGUCUUCAGCCUCAGAGUGGUGGCGUGGGUCUCAGCGAGUCAGCAUCCUCGUCAGCGCUGUGGUGCUCUACUUCCAGAGUUUCAAUGGAGCCUCAGACUUAGGUUCUUCGUAUACUGAACGGUGACAUGGUCAUGGACACGAGUUUGCAGAUGCAGCACCAUUACAGCGCUCCUCUGUUAGAAGAGCCACUUGAAUCAUUUAGUGGGAAGCUAUCUCUUGACAAACACAUGCCUGCAUAUUGGGAUAGGGACAACAAAGCAAGAAGGACUUCAUGUGAAGAUGACAUUUAAAAAGGGGUCGAUACUUGAUGAUCAAAAUUGAAAAAUGCUUUUUACUGGUUAUGCUAAAUAUGUUUAUUUUCUCUCCUAUUUUGUAGUUUUGCAUUUUUCUAGCUAUCUUUCUAUA
Molecule: non-coding RNA, 670 nt
Organism: Arachis ipaensis
Lineage: Eukaryota; Viridiplantae; Streptophyta; Magnoliopsida; Fabales; Fabaceae
Source: RefSeq, a predicted model, not a curated record